UGGGGAGGCACAGCCUCCCCUAACCAGCCCUCCAUACAAUUUCUGAAACCUGAUGUGGCCCUCAGGCCAGAAAGUUUGCCCGCCCCUGGUUUAGAGCUUUCUAAGUCAAACUCAGCACCUUCAACUCCACUCUGAACCUGGUCAACAUCCAGUGCAUCUCCCGGAGCACUGCUGCCCCGCGCUCCCGAUGCGUUCCUUCACUCCCUUCCCGAGCGGGUUGCUGUAUUCUGCGCCAGCUGCCGUUUGCAAUUGGACUUUUGGUGGUCGGGCUAAUCUGGAGGCGACAAAGGCCUGGGUCACUGGAGCGAGAUCCAUGUCAGAAAGAAACGCAACCUCUGAGGUUCCAGGUAGCCAUGGAGUCUGCAAUGUCUUUGUAAAGACUAGUGGAAAUGUAGGCCACUUUGGAUGAGCAUCAUAAAGAUCUGACCAGGUAUCUCAUGAAGAGAAGAGAAAAAAAUCAGUUUCAUUUUCCCUCUGAGUCACUGAUAGGAGUGGUUCUCGAGCUCUGGGUUACAGUAACAUUCAGAUCAGUCAAGGACACAGAGGCUGGACUAGGAACUGGCGUACACGAGAUCUCCGGCUUACAAAGGGGUCUGGAGGAUGGAGGACAUGGAUACAAGCUGAUCCACACGCAGUUGGAGUUCAACUGGUGCAAGCCAAGCAGCCGCCCCUUUCCAGUUUCCCUGUUCAAACACGGAACGUUAACUUCAAGGAAGCUCUCCGGAUCUGGGCGUACGACCGGCAUCUGCGCUAAACACAGGAUCGGCUUAUCCAGGUGAAGGACUCCAGCUCUCAUCCCCUGCUAUGGCUCCCGUGCACGGGGUCGCACGGGCGGGGCACUUCCGGAUGACAGUCCCCAGGGCUUUGCUGCUCAGCGUGCUGAUUUACAGCACGGUCUCUGAUAUCCGAUGUCCGGAUAAUGUGCCAAGCCCUGGAGAUUGCUCCUAUGUGUUCAGAUCUGUCGCCAAAGGGGGCUCGGUGAGCAUCUCACUUAAGACAUCAGAAACCACCCUGGAUCUCUGCAAGCUGAACAGGUCGACUGCGAAAUGGGAUGCUGUCAGCAGCUUCGUUAAGGGGAACCAGACAAAGCUCAACAGCGGCUUCCAGGAGCAAGUCUCGGUCUCCAAUGGCACCUUCGUGGUGGAGAACGUGAGCCAAGGGGCUGAUGGGAAUUAUGUGUUUCAAGACACCAGUGAAAAGUGCCUGGCUCAGAUAGCACUGACAGUGGUGUGCUCUUCUGGCAGCCCGUCCCACCGCUUCCGCUUGCCAUCCUGCCCCUGCCCCGUACCUUCUACCUGAAG
RNAcentral lists this long non-coding RNA (1301 nucleotides) under Chrysemys picta bellii (western painted turtle). RNAcentral's name for it is "lncRNA (ENSCPBG00000013068.1)". The record is from RNAcentral. Lineage: Eukaryota; Metazoa; Chordata; Testudines; Emydidae.